This is a long non-coding RNA of Acanthopagrus latus (yellowfin seabream), 890 nucleotides long. RefSeq lists it as uncharacterized. The record is from RefSeq and is a predicted model, not a curated record. The transcript has 2 exons. Lineage: Eukaryota; Metazoa; Chordata; Actinopteri; Spariformes; Sparidae.
UUUUACACAAAGGUUUGACUCGGGUACAUUCACAAAAAAGCCGAGGUUGCAUUUUGGUGAGAGUUUCACUUUAAGUGGUGAUACCCGCAAGAAAAUGUGGUCAUAGAAACACAGAAAAGUGAUGGUUAACUAUACAAAACAUAAGCAGGAUACAAAGCUGCAGAAACACUACAUAUAAUUUCCAAUCAUAAAGAGUAAGUCUAAAAAAAGUUUGGAAACAAUUAUGUCUCCAGUAGAGUGACAAUUUUUUUUGUUUUUUUCUUUUAAUUUAGAAGAAAGUAUUAGGAAUAUGUGAUGUGCAAGCUAGACGUUAUGUUACUCUGAGCUGCAGUGAUAAUAAGAGUGUAAAACCAGUGACACUGUCAGGAGUCCUGCUGUGAAUCUAACAACCUCUGUGUGGCUAAAAUGCAGCAUCGACAAUUAUCCUCAUCGUGUCAGGAGCUCUGUUUUUAAAACCACAUGUGGAAAAUGUGGAACAGAAAGGUGAUUCAACUGAUGUCUAAAAAUAUAAGUGGGUUCUCCUGUGGGAAUAAAGACCAAGUGAUCCGAUUGGUCAGUAGUCAGGCUGCUGACAGGUUUUGAUUUGAUCUUCUGGGGUUAGCUGUGCAGCACAGGUUACCAUGGUGAUCUACCCCAGUUAAAAGCGAGACAGUGGUAACCUGCUAAUCUCGCUUCGCAGGGACGAGCUCUGAACAGCCCUGUUAUCGCAGGAGGAAUAUGGAUGCUGAUCAGUUCCAUGAACACAGCUGACAGUAGAGGACCUGCUGGACAGGAACACGUAUCACCCUCGUACUCAAACACUGAAGACUUUCAAUGAUUAUGAUGUAGCUGGUUCAGUGAAGGGCAUUCAGCACAAACAAACUGUGUAAUUAAUUUGCAUUUGCAAAAGA